AGUGAACGCUGGCGGUAGGCCUAACACAUGCAAGUCGAACGGCAGCACAGUAAGAGCUUGCUCUUACGGGUGGCGAGUGGCGGACGGGUGAGGAAUACAUCGGAAUCUACUUUUUCGUGGGGGAUAACGUAGGGAAACUUACGCUAAUACCGCAUACGACCUACGGGUGAAAGCAGGGGAUCUUCGGACCUUGCGCGAUUGAAUGAGCCGAUGUCGGAUUAGCUAGUUGGCGGGGUAAAGGCCCACCAAGGCGACGAUCCGUAGCUGGUCUGAGAGGAUGAUCAGCGACACUGGAACUGAGACACGGUCCAGACUCCUACGGGAGGCAGCAGUGGGGAAUAUUGGACAAUGGGCGCAAGCCUGAUCCAGCCAGACCGCGUGGGUGAAGAAGGCCUUCGGGUUGUAAAGCCCUUUUGUUGGGAAAGAAAAGCAGCAGGUUAAUACCCCGCUGUUCUGACGGUACCCAAAGAAUAAGCACCGGCUAACUUCGUG
RNAcentral lists this ribosomal RNA (492 nucleotides) under uncultured bacterium. RNAcentral describes it as "partial 16S ribosomal RNA". It matches the Rfam family "Bacterial small subunit ribosomal RNA", at positions 29 to 507 of the family's 1533-position model. The record is from RNAcentral.